CCUUACCUACUCUUGACAUCCAGAGAACUUUCCAGAGAUGGAUUGGUGCCUUCGGGAACUCUGAGACAGGUGCUGCAUGGCUGUCGUCAGCUCGUGUUGUGAAAUGUUGGGUUAAGUCCCGCAACGAGCGCAACCCUUAUCCUUUGUUGCCAGCGGUUAGGCCGGGAACUCAAAGGAGACUGCCAGUGAUAAACUGGAGGAAGGUGGGGAUGACGUCAAGUCAUCAUGGCCCUUACGAGUAGGGCUACACACGUGCUACAAUGGCGCAUACAAAGAGAAGCGACCUCGCGAGAGCAAGCGGACCUCAUAAAGUGCGUCGUAGUCCGGAUUGGAGUCUGCAACUCGACUCCAUGAAGUCGG
RNAcentral lists this ribosomal RNA (360 nucleotides) under uncultured Enterobacter sp. RNAcentral's name for it is "bacterial SSU rRNA". It matches the Rfam family "Bacterial small subunit ribosomal RNA", at positions 969 to 1329 of the family's 1533-position model. Lineage: Bacteria; Pseudomonadati; Pseudomonadota; Gammaproteobacteria; Enterobacterales; Enterobacteriaceae. The record is from RNAcentral.